GCCCGGGUGGCGAAAUUGGUAGACGCAGCGGAUUCAAAAUCCGCCGCCAGAAAUGGUGUGCCGGUUCGAGUCCGGCCCCGGGCACCA
This 87-nucleotide transfer RNA is filed under the name Idiomarina sp. A28L. Its description in RNAcentral is "tRNA-Leu". It matches the Rfam family "tRNA". Rfam says of the family: Transfer RNA (tRNA) molecules are approximately 80 nucleotides in length. Lineage: Bacteria; Pseudomonadati; Pseudomonadota; Gammaproteobacteria; Alteromonadales; Idiomarinaceae. RNAcentral also lists the same sequence under 5 other names. The record is from RNAcentral.